AUGAGUGUAGCAAGCGCACAAGUGAGAAAGUUAAAAUGGUGAAAACAAAUUACUCAGAAUUCAAAAAUGGAACAGCCAAAUGUAAUUUGUGCCUUAAAACCAUUAAAACAAGUUUCUACUUCGAUUUUCUAAUCGACAAAUAUGGUGUCGCACCUGAAAAAUAAGCACUAUGACACUUUUGUAAAGUGUAUGCAAAAAAAGGUUUCGACGAACUCUUGCGAAAGCGAAACAAUUGAGCAAUCAUUCAUAAAUUCUGAAACUUUAAAAAGUUAGAGACAACAUGCCUGUCCGGUGCGUGGAGAAAGAAGGUCUAACACAUUUCUUAAGAAAUAUGUGCCGAAAUUUAAAAUGCCAAGCCGGUCCAAGGCGACGUUUGUUUUACUAUGUAGAAUAGUCAUAAAAUUAAUGAUAAUUUUUUCCAGAUUACGACAUUGAUCGGAGAAAAAUACAAGACAUUAGUGAUUGCUGUUAAAAAGGUUUUAAGCAAAGUGGAGGAUGUCGCAUUCACAUUCGAAGUAGUGACUAUAACAAACUCAAGCCGACCAUUUCUUACAAUAACUGCGCAUUUUAUAAAUAAGGAAUGUUUGGAAUCAAUUUGUUUAAAGGCAGCUAGAAUGGAUCAGAUGAAAAUUCAGAUGACCAAGGUGAUGGCUUGGAAAACGACCACAAUAGGUCAAUUUCGAACGUAGACGGUUCGGGAAAUGGGGAACUAAAGAUGUAUUUCAGCUUGCCCCAAUCUUAGUGGGAAAGUAACCCAAUAAUGUUUUGGAGUUCGCAUAAGACGGCUAUGCCAGGACUCUCGAAGAUCGCCUUACGAUACCUUAUAACCCCUUAUAGAUCAGUGCCUUCGGAGCGACUUGCUUCUGCCAUUAAAUGUGUUGUCUGUGACUCACGAAGUCAUAUUUAAAACGAAACGACGGAUACACAUAUCACAGAACGCGUUUUUUUGAAAUUUUUGAACUCCAA
This is an RNA transcript of Drosophila willistoni, 966 nucleotides long. RefSeq lists it as uncharacterized. The transcript has 4 exons. The record is from RefSeq and is a predicted model, not a curated record. Lineage: Eukaryota; Metazoa; Arthropoda; Insecta; Diptera; Drosophilidae.